This 492-nucleotide ribosomal RNA is filed under the name uncultured bacterium. Its description in RNAcentral is "partial 16S ribosomal RNA". It matches the Rfam family "Bacterial small subunit ribosomal RNA", at positions 29 to 507 of the family's 1533-position model. The record is from RNAcentral.
AGUGAACGCUGGCGGUAGGCCUAACACAUGCAAGUCGAACGGCAGCACAGUAAGAGCUUGCUCUUACGGGUGGCGAGUGGCGGACGGGUGAGGAAUACAUCGGAAUCUACUUUUUCGUGGGGGAUAACGUAGGGAAACUUACGCUAAUACCGCAUACGACCUACGGGUGAAAGCAGGGGAUCUUCGGACCUUGCGCGAUUGAAUGAGCCGAUGUCGGAUUAGCUAGUUGGCGGGGUAAAGGCCCACCAAGGCGACGAUCCGUAGCUGGUCUGAGAGGAUGAUCAGCCACACUGGAACUGAGACACGGUCCAGACUCCUACGGGAGGCAGCAGUGGGGAAUAUUGGACAAUGGGCGAAAGCCUGAUCCAGCAAUACCGCGUGAGUGAAGAAGGCCUUCGGGUUGUAAAGCCCUUUUGUUGGGAAAGAAAAGCAGCAGGUUAAUACCCCGCUGUCCUGACGGUACCCAAAGAAUAAGCACCGGCUAACUUCGUG